GUGAGUUGUGAUGGAUUUUCCUUGGCUCGCUCAGUUUUUGCCUUUAAGCAGUGCUAUUGAUUCACAGGGUAAUGAAUCUGCCUAGUGUCACUUUUCACGACAGCUGUCACUCCCCAACUCUGCACAUCAGUCCCAAUCAGGGGAGAGAAAAAGGGGAGUCCGAUCGAUUGACGUUAAUUAUGCGGAUGUAAGGAGGGACGAUGCACAUUGGCGUGUGUCUCCUCCAGAGGAGUCGAUAAAGGUCAGGCAAUUCGUUUUCCCCCACAGUUUUUUUUUCCCAGGCAUUCAAUAUUGUCACGCUGAAGAUGGAAAGCACAUCUUACACAUCUCACUUUAACCUCGUGCUGUAGAUCUAGGCACAUGUUCAUAACCUUUAAAGCACAAGAUUGUCGUGUCUGGAUUCAUCAUUGGGAUGAAUAUUAAAACUUUCUGGUUGGUGUUUUUGGAUUUUGGGGUGUUUUUUGUUUUGGAUUAUGGUAACGGGAACGUUUUUCAUUUACAUUCUAGUAAAAACUGGGCUUUUUGAGGAUAACUGAUGGCUAUUUCUUUUUUCUUUUUUUUUUUUGCCUGUCCCGUUUGGCUCUUUUGCCAUCAGAAUUAUUGUCUAAAGGCAAAGAAAGAUGCCCAACGGAUUUACUUUACCAAAUUGACCAUCCCAGCCUUGCCGUAAUGGUCCAUUUGAUUCACCUUUUAUUGUUUCUUUUAUUUUCACUUACUGAAUACGGGACAGACUUGACUGGGGGAAAGAAGGGGAGAAAGAAAGAGGGAAAGAGAAACAGCUGAGAAGAGGGACGGGGGAGAAGGGCAAAAGACAAAAACCAACAGAAUGGGCAGGAAAAAAAAAGAAAAAAAAAAUGCAUAUAUCGAUCACCUGGAUCACCUGCUGAGAAAGAAAAAAGAAAGCAAGCAGAAGAAAACGAGAGUAAUAGAAUAAACAACAUCACAAUGAUAUAUGGGAAUAUGACAGUAAAUACUAAAUAUUAAACAUUAUUGUGCAGCACAUAAGAUCAACAGAACACAGUGUGCUUUGAGGUAGGAGCCAAAAAGGGGUGUAGUUUGUGGGUGUGAUCACCCGUGUGUACACCUGUGAGCAUGGAUGCGCUUGUUU
This is a long non-coding RNA of Astatotilapia calliptera (eastern happy), 1108 nucleotides long. NCBI's taxonomy places the organism in Eukaryota, Metazoa, Chordata, Actinopteri, Cichliformes, Cichlidae. The record is from Ensembl.